GAAACACCUGCAGUGAUUCUAGCAUCUGCAUUCUCAGGGAGCUCCCUGUCUUCUUCAAGGUCUGUUGAUGAAGCUGAGCAGGUUUCUUCUUGCCCUUCACCUUGGUGGGAGCUGUUUCUUGCCUGGGUCCUGGGGUCUUGCUGGCUUGGUUGCCCAUGGCUUUUGAGGACUGUCUGCUGGCCUCCUUUGCCAUGUCCAGGGGCAAUCGAGCCUCCCCUCAAAGAAACAGGAGCCUGUACCUAAGCCUCUGAGCACCACAGCAAUGGGCAAAGACUUGUAGUUGGACUCCUGGUGUCAGAAAUUUGCUUACAAAUAAUUACAGAAUGGAGAGGAAACAGUAAAGUAGAGAAAUGUGAAGUUUUGUUAUCUAUCCUAUCAACCCAAGUGUUUUGUUCUGGGUCUGCUUAAUCCAAGCAGAGAUUAAUUAUCUGUCAAUCAGGAAGGUUGGUAGUGAGUAACCAGGAGGCCUCCUCCAAGAUGGAAGCUAGUGUCUUCAAAAACUAGAAAAGGAAUCAGCCUUUCCUCACCCAAGGGAGUAGUCCAAUAGUCAGAGUCUAAGGUGAAGCUGAGCUCCAAGUCCACAAUCCAACCUGUAGUCUGCAGUGAAGCUCCCUCAUAGACUCUUCCCAGUCAGAAGACUUUCUCCAGAAGACACAAUCUCUUCACACCAUCUUCUCAAGGACAAUCUCCUCUGACGGAGUUCAGGGCUUGUUUUUAUGGUGACUUCUUGUCUCCUCCUCUCUUCACAGGAGCCAAUCACAGCUUCCAAAUUGCUGAGUUCUGCCCAGGGGGCAGAGUUUGUGGGAACUAGUUCUCACCUUCUGAAGGCUGUUAGCAAAGAGGCUCCAUUCCUUAGUGACCUGGGAGAAGUGGACACAUGCAGUGAAGGCAGCCAGCCAGCAGAUGCCAGUGUGUUCUCAGGUGUGAGAGGUGAGAAAUCUUCAGGUAAUUCGGAAAGGCUGAAAACAAAUAGCCCAGGGAAUCUUCUUUGCUCUGAAAGGCAGAAAUCCAUCUCUGCUGUUCUGUGUUCUUCCCUCCCAGUAUUGCCAAGGGAUAGAUAA
Monodelphis domestica (gray short-tailed opossum) is the source of this 1061-nucleotide long non-coding RNA. NCBI's taxonomy places the organism in Eukaryota, Metazoa, Chordata, Mammalia, Didelphimorphia, Didelphidae. The record is from Ensembl.